Equus asinus (donkey) is the source of this 1728-nucleotide long non-coding RNA. NCBI's taxonomy places the organism in Eukaryota, Metazoa, Chordata, Mammalia, Perissodactyla, Equidae. The record is from Ensembl.
CAGGUUAGCUGACCAGCCCUGUGGUGGAACAGAUUGAAAUACUAAUCACUGAAAAUAGCUUUAUCCUCUGUUUUGUCUGCUUGUGUAACUAAAAAAAAUGAACGUAAGACAGGUCUUAACAAUAGUCUCUUCUAAAACUUACUUUUGCUCAGUAUUGACCUCUUGAGCCUGACCCCAAAUUGUGAGAGCCCUGGGGAUAUGUUUGGCCCUGUGAAGGAAGGUCAGGCCCGUCCACUCCUGCUGGUUCUUAUUCCACAGUGUGGAGCUCUUGAAGACGAUUCUGGAUACCUUUCUACUCUUCUGACCCAGGUCCAGUCCAAACUGCAGUGGGGUUCUAUGUGGUAAUACCAAAGGAUUUUCAAAAGGGCAUUUGGAGUCCAGCGUCUCCAUGUGGACUUCACCCAGUAACAAAAUAUCUUAUCAAUUUGAAGAUGAACGUUUUUCACGUUUUAACACCUCUGAAGUUGACAGAAUCUUACGGUUGCUGUUCUCCAGGUGGCAGCCAGGACGUAGCUGCUGUUGCCUGCCCUUGCACAAACCUAGAUGUUAGUCCUCAUUCAGGUUGUCUUUAAAUGAUUCGUUGACUGUGUGUGUAGAAGAGUUACAGUUGUCCAAUAUGCCUUUGGUGGACCUUUUGUGGACAUCCUUCAGUAAGAACAAUAAAGUGCCAGCAUCAAAACUUAUAGAAUGAGCAUCAGCACCUUGGAAGCAAAUCCCAGAGACAAUAUUGCAGCAGUCUUAAGAAUAUUACCAAAGCUCCUGAUAGCCCAGCUGACAAAGCGUGAAAAAAACUCUGAUCUCAACUCUCCGUUGAAAGUGAUUCAGAGGACCUGGGAAUGUUUCUAUGGGAAACAUUUUAAUGAUACCUCAACCAAUUUUUAAAAAUUUAAGUCAGAUUUAUUGAGGUAUAAUUUACAUACAGUAAAACUAACCCUUUUUAGAUAUACAGUUCUGUGAAUUGGUAAAAAUAUAUAUAAUGUUGUGUAUCCACCACCAAAAUCAAGAGAGUACAUUUUGAGUUUCCUCAUGCCUCUUUGUAGUUGAUCCCCAACCCAUACUCCCGGCCCUCAGGAACCACUGAUCUUUCUUUCUCUGCUGUUUCGGCUUUCCUGUAAUGUUGUGUAGCAUUUUGAUUCUGGUUUAUUUCACUUAGCAUAAUGUUCUUGCAUUUAUCAGUAGUUCCUUCCUUUUUACUGUUGAGUAGUAUUCCAUGGUGUGAUUAUACCAUAAUGUUUAUGCAUUCACAAUAGAAUAUCUGGAUUGCUUCUAGUUUAUGGCAAUUACGGAUAAAGCUAUAAAAGUGCAGGGUUUUGUAUGGAUAUACAGUUCCACUUCUCAUGGGGAAACACUCAGGCGUAGGAUUGCUGGGUCAUAUGGUAAUUGUAUAUUUAACUUUAUAACACACUGCUGAACUGCUUUUCACAGUGUCUGCAGGGUUUGACAUUCCCACGCACCAUGAAAACUUGGAGCUACUCUGCAACCUCACCAGCGCUUGGCAUGAUCAGCUUUUUAAAAUUAUAGUCAUUGUAUCCAUUAUUAGUCAUAGCUCACCGUGGUGUCAAUGUGCAUUUCCUUAAUGAUGCGCAUCUUCUCAUGGGCUUAUUUCCUAUCUAUAUAUCUCCUUUGAUGAAAUGUCUGUUCAAAUCAUUUGUAAUUUGAUUAUGUUCUUCUUACGGAGCUAUGAAUCCUUUAUGCAUUCUAGGUGUCCUUUAUCAGAUAUGUGUUUUG